Long non-coding RNA from Sesamum indicum (sesame), 754 nucleotides. RefSeq lists it as uncharacterized. The record is from RefSeq and is a predicted model, not a curated record. Lineage: Eukaryota; Viridiplantae; Streptophyta; Magnoliopsida; Lamiales; Pedaliaceae.
UUGGGUUAUUUUUGGGGCUCGCAUUUUUGGCGAAACUGUUUUUGUGUUUCAGAGUUUCCCUUCUCAUAUUCAUGUUUGAUUUCAAGCAAAAUAUAAGGCGAGCAAUCAAACAGAAAAAAGCAGCCGAGGCAGAUCGAUCUAGGGUUCUUUGUUCUCUCGAUUGAUAAUGAAUAGCCAAGCUGCAUCAGAGUCGGGGCUCUCAAAGCUCCUCAGCCCCGGCAUCCGGACGCAGUCGACGACUGAAAGUAAGGCCGCCGCCUUCCGGGGCGCGGCCGCCGGCACCUCUCCCCGUUGGCUCGUUCAGCCUUUCGACUGGCUCAGGAAGACAUGUUUUGAGAAGUGUGACUGACUCAGAAGUGAGCAGAAUGGUGAAGUCUCGCUGGUACUUUUUUCUUUGCUCCAAACAUGGUUGUUGCUGAUGUUCAAAACUCUGAGCACCAUUGAGAGGACUAAUACCUUUUGCGUAUUGGUAUUUCUUUUUCUUCUUUUUUGUUAGAUUCAUUUGGAAACAAGUUGGGAUGUAAUCUCUGUCUCCCUCCCUGUUUUAUUCAAUGUCUCUUUACAGGCUCAGAUGAUACUAGCUAUUAUAUAUUUUCAUUUCUGAUCUAUCUGAUCAAAGACCCCAGUUGAGUGUUUUGCUUUGGUGUGUGAAGAUAGAUAGAGAAACACAUAGAUAAGUAAGUUUGUUUUGGAUAUUUUGUAACUGUUUGGAUUUGCUUUUUGAAAUAAAAAAGUAAGAGAUAUGUGUUGAAUG